UAUGACAAAUAACAUUCAAUACCUACAUACAACUUAACAAAAUUACAUUAAAAAAAAGCAUGCGGCUUGGCUCGGGUU
Molecule: small RNA, 78 nt
Filed under: Arabidopsis thaliana (thale cress)
Lineage: Eukaryota; Viridiplantae; Streptophyta; Magnoliopsida; Brassicales; Brassicaceae
Description: ATSL259660
Source: RNAcentral